CUCUCCGUAGUUCAAUGGAUAGAACGGGCGCCUCCUAAGCGCCAGAUACAGGUUCGAUUCCUGUCGGAGGGACCA
RNAcentral lists this transfer RNA (75 nucleotides) under Sphaerotilus natans. Its description in RNAcentral is "tRNA-Arg". It matches the Rfam family "tRNA". Rfam says of the family: Transfer RNA (tRNA) molecules are approximately 80 nucleotides in length. Their secondary structure includes four short double-helical elements and three loops (D, anti-codon, and T loops). Lineage: Bacteria; Pseudomonadati; Pseudomonadota; Betaproteobacteria; Burkholderiales; Sphaerotilaceae. The record is from RNAcentral. RNAcentral also lists the same sequence under 50 other names.